AAUUUUUCUGCUGCAGAAGUUGUUUUAUUGGAUUUUUUUUCACUGAACUGAAGUCAAUAGAAACUGCUUUGAAAUCAAAGCAUUUCUUCAGGGCAAUAAGGCUUCAUUUAUUGUUUGGAGCUGUGCAACUCCGAGUAACUUCGAUCAUCUUAUAAGCACAUGGGGCAAAAACUUUGCAACAAAAGUACAAGGAUAGAAAACCAGAAAGAGUAAAUGGAAAUAGGUAGCUAAAUACAGAGCAGCUGGUUUUACCCAUCAGUAGUCUUGGCAGGGGAGGGUGAACCUAACAAUACCUUUUUCCCAUCUCUCCAUCCUUAUUUCUUCCAACCUAACACAAAUCAACCCUCCUAAAUUUGUGUCAGCGUAAACUCAUGGGACCAAUAAUCUCAGCUAAAAACAUGGGAUAUGUGAAGAUUGUCCUAAUUCUGAUCUUGUUCUCAGGAGAUGAUGCUGAUGAGAAUCUAUGGGGAGAAACAAGGAGCAGUUCAUUAUAAACAGGCAACUCUCAUUG
RNAcentral lists this long non-coding RNA (511 nucleotides) under Cyanistes caeruleus (blue tit). RNAcentral's name for it is "lncRNA (ENSCCEG00000010923.1)". The record is from RNAcentral. Lineage: Eukaryota; Metazoa; Chordata; Aves; Passeriformes; Paridae.